This 142-nucleotide non-coding RNA is filed under the name Butyrivibrio hungatei. The record is from RNAcentral. Lineage: Bacteria; Bacillati; Bacillota; Clostridia; Lachnospirales; Lachnospiraceae.
AUGUUUUUGAGGCGAAAAGGUGUGACCAGGAUUGAUUCUCCGGUGCCACUUAAUAGGGAAUGAAGUGCGAUUCUUCAGCAGUGCCGCUACUGUAAUGGACAUAGUGUCCGAGCCAGAUACCUGCCUUUAGCUAGUAACCAAU